GUGGGGAAUUUUGCGCAAUGGGGGAAACCCUGACGCAGCGACGCCGCGUGGAGGAUGAAGGUCUUCGGGUUGUAAACUCCUUUUCUUAGGGAAAAUGAUGAUGGUACCUAAGGAAUAAGCCACGGCUAACUCUGUGCCAGCAGCCGCGGUAAGACAGAGGUGGCGAGCGUUGUUCGGAAUUACUGGGCUUAAAGGGCGAGUAGGCGGUGGAGCAAGUCUGAGGUGGAAGCCUAUGGCUUAACCAUAGAACUGCCUUGGAUACUGUUUCACUUGAGUCAGUAAGGGGAGGGCGGAAUUCCCGGUGUAGCGGUGAAAUGCGUAGAUAUCGGGAGGAAGGCCAGUGGCGAAGGCGGCCCUCUGGUGCUGAACUGACGCUGAGGCGCGAAAGCGUGGGGAGCAAACAGGAUUAGAAACCCGGGUAGUCC
Molecule: ribosomal RNA, 425 nt
Filed under: uncultured bacterium
Lineage: Bacteria
Description: bacterial SSU rRNA
Rfam family: Bacterial small subunit ribosomal RNA
Source: RNAcentral